UGGCGCAUAGUCUAAUGGCAAAACGCGUGGCUCUGACCCACGAUAGUCCAGGUUCGAAUCCUGGUGCGCCAA
Molecule: transfer RNA, 72 nt
Filed under: marine sediment metagenome
Description: tRNA-Gln
Rfam family: tRNA
About the family: Transfer RNA (tRNA) molecules are approximately 80 nucleotides in length.
Source: RNAcentral